UACGGAGGGUGCGAGCGUUGUCCGGAAUUAUUGGGCGUAAAGGGCUCGUAGGCGGUUUGUCGCGUCGGGAGUGAAAACACCGGGCUUAACUCGGUGCUUGCUUUCGAUACGGGCAGACUGGAGGUAUGCAGGGGAGAACGGAAUUCCUGGUGUAGCGGUGAAAUGCGCAGAUAUCAGGAGGAACACCGGUGGCGAAGGCGGUUCUCUGGGCAUUACCUGACGCUGAGGAGCGAAAGUGUGGGGAGCGAACAGG
This 253-nucleotide ribosomal RNA is filed under the name uncultured bacterium. Its description in RNAcentral is "partial 16S ribosomal RNA". It matches the Rfam family "Bacterial small subunit ribosomal RNA", at positions 524 to 776 of the family's 1533-position model. The record is from RNAcentral.